AGCAAUCCUGUUUCAGGGCAAUCUGAGCUUGAGCUUUCUGUGAGACUACUGAAGCUUUAGAAGGAAGAGGCUGAAGCUGCUGCUCUUAGACUAAAACACAGCUUCAUAGUAGACAGACACGUGAAAGAUAAGCCUUUGAAGUUGAACCUGCCGGUGGAGAUGACAAGCCUCAAGAAACCUCGCCAGGCCCACAGGCAUCCAGCUGCAGCUCAGAAUAAGGACGCUGCUGUGUGUUUUCUGAUGAAGGACAAGGACAUCAGGAGGUGAGCAGGAAACACACCAGGUGUUGCCUUGAGAGGAUGGCGAUCAAAGAUGGAGAUUCCAAGCCUGCCCUUUGGGUAAGAGAGAACUGCUUCAAGACUCUACACAGUGUUGUCUGUUUUGCACUUUAUCUUUUGGUGGUUUUGGAAAUAAUUGAUUGUCCUGAAGGAAUGAAUGCCAAUGUGUUACUUUGAUAUGCAUCCAGAAAACUCCUCACAGAGCAACAUCAAUGGGUGAAGAUAUAUCCACCACUGCCUCCACAGCUUUAGCUGCUUUCCAGAGUUGUACCAGGUUUCAGGUUGAUAGUUUGAGGUGAACACCAGCCGUUUUCUACUGUGGGUCAUUCAAGCUGUUUGAUCAGAGUGUUUAACCCUGUCCUUCAUCUGGAUCUCAUGUUGAAUGUACAGUUCAGAGCACAUAGUAACGCUGAAGGGACAAAAGGCAAUGUCUACAGUAAUGUCUCUUUCUCAACAAAGGCUUUUUUGUAUUUCAGAUGUCAGAGAUGAGCAUGUAGAGGUGAGCAUUACAUACACAUUAUUUUAUGUGGGUACAUCUGUGUGAGUGUGUGCACGUGUGGAAUGUCAAAGGGAGCAGCAGCAUGACAGGAAGUAAAUAUUAUGUAGGUCUACUGGGGGUUAACACCAUUUCCUGUUGACCCCUCCUCAACAAAUAUGUUCAAUGUGCAAUCGUUCUCUCUCUCUCUCUCUCUCUCUCUCCCACAUACAAAGUUAUUAUUAGCUUAGGUCCUUCAUAACUUUAUUCUAAUGCCAUCGGGUCUCGUCAUGAGGACACAUGCAAUGUCACAUGCGUCCCUCGGAUUCAUGUCAGCAAAGGUCGGCUCAUUUGGGUGUGUAUAGUUUUGUGAUUUCUAAUAGCUGAAAUCCAUCCCUUUUGCAUAAUAUUUCUUUGUCAGUUUGCAUGCUGUGUAUGCGGUCAGUUAUCCCUGUGGCCCAUGGUGCAGUGCUGCAUCUCUGGUCAGUUGGUAGUCUGAGAUGAAGCACUGUAGCUCGGGACGGAGGACAGAAAACCCGGUGUCCAGCAGCAGGUCUACAGGGGCCGUUAUGUGCGGCAGGAGGGGGUUUUGUGGACUAGAAACUCUUUAAGGUCUGCUUCACGGCCCGCUGCUCUUAAUGUGGACUUAGUAUAGUGGGCGGCCCCUUGCCCGCAUCCUACCCCUGCUUCCAGCGCAAUUACUCGGACCACAUCCAUCUCGGAUAAAUAUAGUUAAAUAGCUGUAAUAAAUCCUGAGAACCCUACAAGGAUUUCAGCAUUCAGGAGAAAAGUACAGACAUGAGGUUUUUGGCAUUUUCUAUUAUUCAUGUACAUAUGAAUUCUGAACCUCUGCACUGGUUCUGGUGAUGGAUGAUGACAGAAACAGAAGUUAUUGAUUUCCUCUCUCCUGGGGUCCAGUUUUCCCAGGAAUCCCUUGACCUAUCAGAAAGGGGGAUUCCUGGAAAUACUGUUCUUGGGGGCGGGGCUUAUCCACUCAACCAGUUAACACAUCAUUAUUUGUGUUGUGUGUAAUAUAUUCAUACUGUACUGUGUGUACAUGUCACAUUCCUUUUCAUGAGGUGUAACUUUAACCAAUCCCUGGCUCCUAUCUGACUACUGAUCAUGGUUGAAUAAACAUUGAAACAAAGAAACGUUUGUAUGCAUUUAUUGUACAUGAAUAUUGCAGUUUGGAAGUACAGUGGGAUAUAUAAAGGGAAGGAAAAAUUACUCAGAUCCUUUACUUAGCACAGAAAAAAAUCCUUUAUAGCACAUGUGUCAAACUCAAGGCCCGCGGGGCCACAUCCGGCCCGUGAAUUAAUUAUCUUUGGCCCGCAUGAUCAAAUCUAUUUACUAUUAGAGCUGGCCCGCCGGUAUAUCGCACGCAUCACCAUAAUACUACAAAUCCCACAGCUCUCCAUGUGUUCGCGGGCCCGCCGUGUACCUUUUGAUCGUCCCUUUAACCGUAUAAACCAUAAAACGAAAACACUCGUUUCUGGUUUUUUGUUUUAGAUCCAAAACCGGAAAAAGGAAGUGGGCGGCCGUGAGAGGGUUAAUUCUGACCAUUAAUGAAGCAGUUGCAGCUAAGAUAGCCCUGAAAUUGUCCUUACUCUUAAUAUAAGAUAAUGGUUCCCUGUACUCUAUUUACCAUGUUAGAAGUUCAUUGGCUAACAACUCAAAUUCUUGUUUUUGGAUUUCAAAACAAAGAAAGAAAACAAUGCAGUAGAGAAAUACAGUAACAGAGCUGAACUUUAUUCAACUAUGGUAAAUGUCAAAGAUAAAGCUCCAUAAAAUAGAACAGGUUGCAUCAUCAACUUAAAAAACGGACGCACAUAAAAUGUUUUUAAAAAAAUCAGGACAAAGACAAACUGCUUCAAAUAUGUGCAGCCUUUUGUAAACUGUAUUUCACCAUCAUUACAGGAAUGAUCAAAGAGGUAAGGAAUUAGGUCCGAACAAUAAUGC
Long non-coding RNA from Pungitius pungitius (ninespine stickleback), 2712 nucleotides. RefSeq lists it as uncharacterized. The record is from RefSeq and is a predicted model, not a curated record. Lineage: Eukaryota; Metazoa; Chordata; Actinopteri; Perciformes; Gasterosteidae. The transcript has 3 exons.